Sinocyclocheilus grahami is the source of this 495-nucleotide long non-coding RNA. RefSeq lists it as uncharacterized. NCBI's taxonomy places the organism in Eukaryota, Metazoa, Chordata, Actinopteri, Cypriniformes, Cyprinidae. The transcript is spliced from 2 exons. The record is from RefSeq and is a predicted model, not a curated record.
CAGUUAUGCACUGAGAAAAACACAGUGUCUCAAAUGCAUUAAACGGCACAAAUAUUCGUAUAUAUCAUGGUGGAUCGUUUUGAUCCAUGAUCGACAUUAAGGGCUGCUUAAGAAUAAGCAUGCACAUCAAAUUAUCCUGACUCAUUGAACCUGGAUCGAAUUAGUGAGAUUGCGUGAACUUAAAUUGUCGUUUAUGAAACCGCUGUAGUCCCAAUUGAUUUGUUAGGUUAUUUCAAGUCAGGUUUUGGACUUUAAUCCCCGAUUUUCUUACCGUCUUUUAUGAAACAGCCCCCAGGUUGUCUACAUUGGUUUGAGUAGAGUGUUAUUAACGGUUCUAUGGCACGUUUUGCAUCUUUAAUGCAUUUCCAGGUUGCUUUGUCUAAUUGGUAUGAGCACAUACUUUGUGUUUUUUGGCGAGGGGCAUUUACACUUGAUCAUUUCAUGCAUUUUUCCUUUUAAGCAAAAUAGCAAUCCACUAUGUGAUAAAAUAAAAAA